UACGUAGGGAGCAAGCGUUGUCCGGAAUCAUUGGGCGUAAAGCGCGCGUAGGUGGCUUCGUAAGUCCGUUGUGAAAGUCAAAGGCUCAACCUUUGAAAGCCGAUGGAUACUGCGGAGCUAGAGUACGGAAGAGGCGAGUGGAAUUCCUGGUGUAGCGGUGGAAUGCGCAGAUAUCAGGAGGAACACCAGCGGCGAAGGCGGCGCUCUGGGCCGGAACUGACGCUGAGGAGCGAAAGCGUGGGUAGCAAACAGG
This 253-nucleotide ribosomal RNA is filed under the name uncultured bacterium. RNAcentral describes it as "partial 16S ribosomal RNA". It matches the Rfam family "Bacterial small subunit ribosomal RNA", at positions 524 to 776 of the family's 1533-position model. The record is from RNAcentral.